AUGAAGAGGGAGGGGUUCCAGCACGGCGCCGUCAGGGUCAACCGCAACAAGCUGCUGCGGGUCGCCGGCGGGACCGGCGGCGACGCGGCGGCCGCGGCGCUCGACCUCGCCGGCGUCGCCUACGCCCGGGCGCCGUCCAAGCCGACCAACGCGUCCAGGGACACGGGCCGGUGCCGCCGGCCCCGGUGCGCCGGCUGCCACGUGCACCCCGCCGCCAAGGCCCGGGACAAGGCCAAGGGCGCCCACAAGCUGCGCGCCUCCGACGUCGCCCUCAACCACCGCCUCGUCUCCUGGCGCCUCGUCGACGGGGACGCCUCCGCCGCCGCCGCCCGCACCGGCGGCGUCCCCGACUACAAGGGCGCCUCCGCGUCCGCCGUCCUCGCCUACCUCGCCGGCGGCAACAGCUGGCACGCCGAGGACGAGGACGAUGACGAUGAGGACCAGGACGGCGCCGAUCUUCAGGCCCCCCCAAGGGGGAUCUCUGACCUGUACGACCUCAUCGUCGGCCUCCAGGCCGGCGCGGCGGCCCCUGCGCCGGGCGGCCCAGAAGACGACGCCGAUGGCACGGCAGCAGUAACACCCAGCGAUGAAAUCGAGGAGCAGGAUGCUGAAAUCACUGACGAUGUCGACGAGGAGGACGACGGGUUCUGCAUGGUGCACGGCAUCACCAUCGCGCUCGAGUUCUCCGGCGGGGAGGAGGACUGGAUCGUGGUCUGA
Molecule: ribosomal RNA, 717 nt
Filed under: Triticum aestivum (bread wheat)
Lineage: Eukaryota; Viridiplantae; Streptophyta; Magnoliopsida; Poales; Poaceae
Description: partial small subunit ribosomal RNA
Source: RNAcentral